AUUGAACGCUGGCGGCAGGCCUAACACAUGCAAGUCGAGCGGAUGAAGGGAGCUUGCUCCUGGAUUCAGCGGCGGACGGGUGAGUAAUGCCUAGGAAUCUGCCUGGUAGUGGGGGAUAACAUCCGGAAACGGGCGCUAAUACCGCAUACGUCCUGAGGGAGAAAGUGGGGGAUCUUCGGACCUCACGCUAUCAGAUGAGCCUAGGUCGGAUUAGCUAGUUGGUGGGGUAAAGGCCUACCAAGGCGACGAUCCGUAACUGGUCUGAGAGGAUGAUCAGUCACACUGGAACUGAGACACGGUCCAGACUCCUACGGGAGGCAGCAGUGGGGAAUAUUGGACAAUGGGCGAAAGCCUGAUCCAGCCAUGCCGCGUGCGUGAAGAAGGUCUUCGGAUUGUAAAGCACUUUAAGUUGGGAGGAAGGGCAGUAAGUUAAUACCUUGCUGUUUUGACGUUACCAACAGAAUAAGCACCGGCUAACUUCGUG
RNAcentral lists this ribosomal RNA (484 nucleotides) under uncultured bacterium. RNAcentral describes it as "partial 16S ribosomal RNA". It matches the Rfam family "Bacterial small subunit ribosomal RNA", at positions 30 to 507 of the family's 1533-position model. The record is from RNAcentral.